CUACCUUUCCGCAGAUGCACAAGGUAAUUAAUUUGAUUUUGAUUAAUACAUUCUUUGUAAGCCCUCUGUACUAAAAAGUCAUGAGCUGCAAAGUCUUAAUUUCUUGAGAUUUUGAUUCCAUAUCAUUUAUCAGAUUUGGGUACAUGAGCAAGAUGACUGCUUGCAAGAGAAGUGUCACUUUCUGGUCACUGGAAUCUAAUUAUGAAAUAUGUACAUGCAGAACAUUCCAAAAUAGCAUAGCUGUCGCUAUGACUGCAUGUCACUUUUGUCUCUGUAUCGUUGGUUUUAGAAACAUUACACAAAAUGAAUUGCAUCAAUCUUUUGUUUCCUUUCCUAUCAUAUUUUUUUUAAGGCAGCCCAGGAAGUUCCUGAUGGAGUUGAGAUGGAGCACUGUAAAGUUCCUUAUGAAUUGAAACAUUCUCAAAGCCUUCAUAUUAUGGGGAGACUAAUAUCCAAGAAGAGGGACUGAGGAUUACAGGUAUGCCAGUGACUCCUCCAAAGCCUAUUUCUUUGCCCUGCUCCUCAAAGUGCAGUCACAAACAGGAGAUCCAAUCACUGCUUAUUUUGAUCUUUUUCAUUAUGCCCUCCCAAGCUGUACAGACUGAUCUCUGAUGUGUCCUCAUUAACAGCCUUUGUAUUUUAAGACCCCCGGUACAGCAGAUGUUUAAGAUGACAAAGUCCUUUGCACAUAUUUUAAGUUUGAUAAGAAGAUUCACUAUUCACAAUAGUUAGUGUGGAUGGAAGUGAUAGUUUAGGUUGGACACAGACAUGAAGAGAGUAAGUUUCCAAUGUGUACAACAUACAUCACCGGUGAUACAGAUGACUUACCACACCUUUCACUACACACAAAAAGCUUCUUUUUAAUUCCUAAGAAAAAAACCACUUUUUUGCCUCCCUCCCCACCUUUUUCUAAUCAAAAGUUUUUUUUAAUUAGGACUGAAACCAAUGCAAAAUUUACAAUCAUAACCACUUCCUUCCAUGCAAGAUCAUUCAAAGUAAAAAAUAAAUAAUAAAAUGAAAAACCA
Molecule: long non-coding RNA, 1025 nt
Filed under: Phasianus colchicus (ring-necked pheasant)
Lineage: Eukaryota; Metazoa; Chordata; Aves; Galliformes; Phasianidae
Description: lncRNA (ENSPCLG00000017987.1)
Source: RNAcentral